GACGAACGCUGGCGGCGCGCUUAACACAUGCAAGUCGUGCGGUGGUGGAAGGCAAGUCUUACGACAAGCCUUCGACACAGCGGCGAACGGGUGAGUAACACGUGAGUAGCUGUCCUAAGGAGGGGGAUAACGCCUGGAAACGGGUGCUAAUACCCCAUAUGCCUCGCAAGAGGUGAAAGUGUACUUGCUACAGCCUUAGGGUGUGCUCGCGGCCUAUCAGCUAGUUGGUGAGGUAACGGCUCACCAAGGCUAAGACGGGUAGCCGGCCUGAGAGGGUGUACGGCCACACUGGAAUUGAGAUACGGUCCAGACUCCUACGGGAGGCAGCAGUGGGGAAUCUUGGGCAAUGGGCGAAAGCCUGACCCAGCGACGCCGCGUUGGGGAUGAAGCCCUUCGGGGCGUAAACCCAUGUUGUAGGGGACGAAGAAAGUGACGGUACCCUACGAGAAAGCCCCGGCCAACUACGUG
Molecule: ribosomal RNA, 468 nt
Filed under: uncultured bacterium
Lineage: Bacteria
Description: bacterial SSU rRNA
Rfam family: Bacterial small subunit ribosomal RNA
Source: RNAcentral